UGAUCCUCCUACUUUGGCCUUAACUUGAGAUCUCACCUUCCUGGUGUCUGGGCUUCCGCAGCUGCUGCUUCUUGAAAUCUGAUUAGCACCAUAGGACUGACAGUGGCGUAGGCAUUGACCAUAAACUUGUGGACACUGUAGAUGACAGGGCUGAAUACCCGUAACAACAUUGUGGAGGAUGAGACAGUUAAGUCCAAUGAGUGCAUAACGAUGAAGAAACUCAAUAGCAGCAAGAUGGUCUUGGUGGCCCUUUUUUCUGGGGAGGUUCUUAAUAAAAAGCUAGUGCCUGUGAAGGUGCUGGGAGCGCCUCUGAUGCCUGGACUAGAGAAUCACCAUGUAUGCACUUGACAGCAGCAUGAUUCCUACAAGGAAGACAUCUCUGGAUAACGACAGAAUAACAGCCUUCUGAUGGUGACAUUCAUUGGGGAAAGUGAGCAGUAUUUAC
This 445-nucleotide long non-coding RNA is filed under the name Pongo abelii (Sumatran orangutan). Its description in RNAcentral is "lincRNA". The record is from RNAcentral. Lineage: Eukaryota; Metazoa; Chordata; Mammalia; Primates; Hominidae.